Long non-coding RNA from Eriocheir sinensis (Chinese mitten crab), 1621 nucleotides. RefSeq lists it as uncharacterized. NCBI's taxonomy places the organism in Eukaryota, Metazoa, Arthropoda, Malacostraca, Decapoda, Varunidae. The transcript has 2 exons. The record is from RefSeq and is a predicted model, not a curated record.
GUAAGAUUAGUACCAACUGGUCUUUGUCCCUGACGUUAAGAUGCUGGGUCAAAAAAGUAAAUCAAUAUUCGUGACCUGCGUUAUCUGAUGGCCUUUGGAGAGGCAGCCUUUGGCAAACCGAUGAAUUCGUACUUUUGUAAAAACUGUCCUACGAGACUUGGUUUGUGUUACAUCUGAACUUAAGUAUUUAUAGAUGGAACAAGCAGUGAAAGUUAAAAGAUGGUGUGUGGAAUUGAGCCAAAGAUAAGCGUAGGUAAAAGAGACUGGUGCAGAUAACCAGUGUGUGCGUCUGGCUGUUAUAGCUCGCCGUCGUUUGGGUAACAUUUUUUACACGAACCAUGCAGUGAUUUUAUAAUUGGUGGCCCGAGGAAUGUUAAUGUUUUUACCUGCCGUGUGUGAGUUUUGAGCAACUAGUUAAAUGCAAAAUAAAUGUUACAUUGUUAAGAAUGACAAAAGUGUGAUAAAUAUCCAUACAUGGAAUACUACCCGAUACAUCAGGUAUAAAGCUGCAAUAUUUAUCUCUGGUAAUGUCCCACCUAGAUUAUGCUGUACAGAAUAAGGUUUAACCCAGCAUUUUGUACUUUUUUUUAAACUAACGGAAUCAGCUUCAUGCUGCUUGAUACCGCUUUGCCCAAAAGUUUCGUGGUUCAUUUAGCAAAACCUAUACAUAGUAAUUUUACUAUAAACAGGCACAGGCUUCGUAGCUUCUGCAGACGAUAAAAUAGUAAAAAGACUCAACCUCCAUUACUCUGUGGUAAUGUAUAUGUUAAUAAACUGCUUUAGUGACUACCUCAACUAGUCACUGAAGCUUCACAAAGACUAUGGAAGCUUUAAGAGACCGCCUCGACCACCCCCGCGUGAACCCCGUGGACCAGACAAGAGGCAGCCACGAGAGGGGCCAGACGAGCUCACCUUGUCGUACACUUCGAAGGGCGUGAGAUUGGUGACUGGGGGCUCCUUGUCUCCUGGCUUCUGGAGGAAAUACUGCCUGAUGAUGAGAACCACUUCCGUGGACUCGACUAGCUUCUGGAGAAUAGAGUGAGUGGUAAUGGCACAAGGCAACGCAGGACGCAGCGCCAGCGGGUCACAGCUUUGCCACUUCCUCCAGAUGCCCCAAAUGUCACACCAUGUGGAUGGCAGGGUUGGCACCUACAAUGUCAAGCCUCAAGGAUUGGCAUCACAGACGUCUUGGCAGCCAAGGUGUCACUAAUCAACGGUCAUCGCUUAGCCAACAAUCAUACUCGGCAAGUAGGUAAGAUUAUGUGGAGAGUAAAGGAGCGCCUUGUGAAACAAAGUGUUUCAUUGAUCAUGGCUGGAUAUUUUAAAGCUUUAAUGAAAUUAAUUAACUCACAUGUAUGCCAGAGUUCUGGCAGUUUUUUUAUGGUUAUGAAAGCUGAGUGCUUGGUAAAUGGGGAUCAGGUUGUAAAUAAUUUGAGGGUCAGUAAAAGUUUUUUUUCUAGAUAAAAUCCACCCAAUUCAGGAUAAAUUUUUUUGGAGCAAAGUAAGUCAAACAAAACUUGGUUUCACAAGGUGCUCAAAGCUUGUCACUCAUUUAUACAUAAAUAAAUAUUUUUUCAUGUAUAAAACUAGACUUGAAAAAAGGAAAUAAGUCUUUUAUCUU